GUGGGGAAUCUUGCACAAUGGGGGCAACCCUGAUGCAGCGACGCCGCGUGAGCGAUGAAGCCCUUCGGGGUGUAAAGCUCUUUCGGCGGGAACGAUAAUGACGGUACCCGCAAAAGAAGCUGCGGCUAACUACGUGCCAGCAGCCGCGGUAAUACGUAGGCAGCAAGCGUUGUUCGGAGUUACUGGGCGUAAAGAGUGUGUAGGCGGUCCUCUAAGUUCGGUGUGAAAUCUCCCGGCUCAACUGGGAGGGUGCGCCGGAAACUGGAGGGCUCGAGUAUGGGAGAGGAAAGCGGAAUUCCUGGUGUAGCGGUGAAAUGCGUAGAUAUCAGGAGGAACACCUGCGGUGUAGACGGCUUUCUGGACCAUGACUGACGCUGAGACACGAAAGCGUGGGUAGCAAACAGGAUUAGAAACCCCAGUAGUCC
Molecule: ribosomal RNA, 425 nt
Filed under: uncultured bacterium
Lineage: Bacteria
Description: bacterial SSU rRNA
Rfam family: Bacterial small subunit ribosomal RNA
Source: RNAcentral